RNAcentral lists this transfer RNA (76 nucleotides) under Candidatus Peregrinibacteria bacterium CG_4_10_14_0_2_um_filter_38_24. RNAcentral describes it as "tRNA-Lys". It matches the Rfam family "tRNA". From Rfam's summary of the family: Transfer RNA (tRNA) molecules are approximately 80 nucleotides in length. Their secondary structure includes four short double-helical elements and three loops (D, anti-codon, and T loops). Further hydrogen bonds mediate the characteristic L-shaped molecular structure. tRNAs have two regions of fundamental functional importance: the anti-codon, which is responsible for specific mRNA codon recognition, and the 3' end, to which the tRNAs corresponding amino acid is attached (by aminoacyl-tRNA synthetases). tRNAs cope with the degeneracy of the genetic code in two manners: having more than one tRNA (with a specific anti-codon) for a particular amino acid; and 'wobble' base-pairing, i.e. permitting non-standard base-pairing at the 3rd anti-codon position. The record is from RNAcentral. Lineage: Bacteria; Candidatus Peregrinibacteriota. RNAcentral also lists the same sequence under 1 other name.
GGGUCAGUAGCUCAGUCGGUAGAGCAGUUGCCUCUUAAGCAAUUGGUCCCGGGUUCGAGCCCCGGCUGGCCCACCA